AGCAGCCGCGGUAAUUCCAGCUCCAAUAGCGUAUAUUAAAGUUGUUGCAGUUAAAAAGCUCGUAGUUGAAUUUCGGGGUUCUACCGUUGGUCGGGCUAUCCGGUCUGUACUGAUGUGUAGAAUUUCUACCUUCUGGGGAACCGUCAUGUUAUUAAUUUAGCGUGGUGGGAAACCAGGACCUUUACCUUGAAAAAAUUAGAGUGUUCAAAGCAGGCUUACGUCUGAAUACAUUAGCAUGGAAUAUAAAAUAGGACGGUGGUCCUGUUUUGUUGGUUUCUGAAUCACCGUAAUGAUUAAUAGGGAUAGUUGGGGGCAUUAGUAUUCAAUUGUCAGAGGUGAAAUUCUUGGAUUUAUUGAAGACUAACUUCUGCGAAAGCAUUUGCCAAGGAUGUUCCAUUAAUCAAGACGAAAGUUAGGGGAUCGAAGACGAUCAGAUACCGUCGUAGUCUUAACCAUAAACCUAUGCCGACUAGGGAUCGGACGAUGUUAACUUUAUGACUCGUUCGGCGCCUUACGGGAA
This 520-nucleotide ribosomal RNA is filed under the name uncultured Scutellospora. RNAcentral's name for it is "SSU rRNA". It matches the Rfam family "Eukaryotic small subunit ribosomal RNA", at positions 569 to 1096 of the family's 1831-position model. The record is from RNAcentral. Lineage: Eukaryota; Fungi; Glomeromycota; Glomeromycetes; Diversisporales; Gigasporaceae.